RNAcentral lists this ribosomal RNA (230 nucleotides) under Triticum aestivum (bread wheat). RNAcentral's name for it is "partial small subunit ribosomal RNA". The record is from RNAcentral. Lineage: Eukaryota; Viridiplantae; Streptophyta; Magnoliopsida; Poales; Poaceae.
GCAACCUUCUGUACCCAAGAGAUCCCAUCUUGGGGCCUUUUUCGGAGCUCCGCCGGAGGGGGCAUUGAUCACGGAGGGCCUCUACAUCAACUCCAUGGCCCCUCCGAUGAUGUGUGAGUAGUUUACUUCAAACCUUCGGGUCCAUAGCUAGUAGCUAGAUGGCUUCUUCUCUCUCUUUGGAUCUCAAUACAAAGUUCUCCUCGAUUCUCUUGGAGAUCUAUUCGAUGUAA